GUCAGGGCAUGGAAGUGGUAGCCUGUAGCCCGGUCCCCACACACUGCGCAGUUCCUCGGCUCAUCUUCCCCACUGGCCAUGGCUUCAGAUCCAUAGCGACUCCCUACUGCCAAGUUUCCUGUUAGAUCUGCAGCGUCCUCUGUGUAUGGAUUCUGGACAAGCUGAGAGGAUGGAGGGAGAGAGAGAGACAACAAGCUUUUCCACAUGCGGUAUGUCCGCAGUAAAAGAAUAGGCAUAACAAUUGUACACUGCUCCUCUGAGUCGGCCCUGCAAAUUAUGUACCUGGUCCUGUAUGGAGCCAAGAUGGAGGACUUCUAAGUAAUAAGUUUAAGAAUCAGAAGUAGGAGCCUUCACCAUGGUUGUCUAUUGCUGCUGCUGCUGCUGCUAAGUCACUUCAGUCGUGUCCAGCUCUGUGUGACCCCACAGACGGCAGCCCACCA
This is a long non-coding RNA of Odocoileus virginianus texanus, 440 nucleotides long. RefSeq lists it as uncharacterized. The record is from RefSeq and is a predicted model, not a curated record. NCBI's taxonomy places the organism in Eukaryota, Metazoa, Chordata, Mammalia, Artiodactyla, Cervidae.